ACGAACGCUGGCGGCCUGCCUAACCCCUGCCAGUCGCACGAGACCUUCGGGUCUAGUGGCGCACGGGUGCGUCACGCGUGGGAAUCUGCCCUUGGGUUCGGAAUAACAGUGAGAAAUUACUGCUAAUACCGGAUGAUGUCUUCGGACCAAAGAUUUAUCGCCCAGGGAUGAGCCCGCGUAGGAUUAGCUAGUUGGUGGGGUAAUUGCCUACCAAGGCGACGAUCCUUAGCUGGUCUGAGAGGAUGAUCAGCCACACUGGGACUGAGACACGGCCCAGACUCCUACGGGAGGCAGCAGUGGGGAAUAUUGGACAAUGGGCGCAAGCCUGAUCCAGCAAUGCCGCGUGAGUGAUGAAGGCCUUAGGGUUGUAAAGCUCUUUUACCCGGGAUGAUAAUGACAGUACCGGGAGAAUAAGCUCCGGCUAACUCCGUG
RNAcentral lists this ribosomal RNA (432 nucleotides) under uncultured bacterium. RNAcentral's name for it is "partial 16S ribosomal RNA". It matches the Rfam family "Bacterial small subunit ribosomal RNA", at positions 29 to 507 of the family's 1533-position model. The record is from RNAcentral.